ACAGGAUUCCCCUAGUAACGGCGAGUGAAGCGGGAAGAGCUCAAAUUUGUAAUCUGGCUGUUUUGCAGUCCGAGUUGUAAGCUAGAGAAGUGUUAUCUGUGCUGGACCACGUAUGAGUCUGUUGGAAUAUAGCGUCAAAGAGGGUGAGAACCCCKUUCAUGAUGUGGACUACCAGUGCUUUGUGUUAACCUUUCAAAGAGUCGAGUUGUUUGGGAAUGCAGCUCAAAUUGGGUGGUAAAUUCCAUCUAAAGCUAAAUAUUGGCGGGAGACCGAUAGCGAACAAGUACCGUGAGGGAAAGAUGAAAAGCACUUUGGAAAGAGAGUCAAAUAGUACGUGAAAUUGUUGAAAGGGAAACGCUUGAAGUCAGACAUGCUUGCGGGGUUCAGUCUUCGGAUGUACUCCUYCCGCUUUGCAGGCUAGCAUCAGUUUUGUGGACUGGAUAAGGGCUUGAGGAAGGUGGCAUCUUCGGGUGUGUUAUAGCCUCUUGCUUGAUGCAGUUCGUGGGACUGAGGAUCGCAGCGCGCCUUAUGGCAUUGGCUUCGGCCUUUCCGCGCUUAGGAUGCUGGUGUAAUGGCUUUAAACGACCCGUCUUGAAACACGGACCAAGGAGUCUAACAUGCUCGCGAGUGUUUGGGUGUCAAACCCGGGCGCGUAAUGAAAGUGAAUGCAGGUGGGAUCCGCAAGGUGCACCAUCGACCGAUCUGGAUUUUCUAUGAUGGAUUUGAGUAAGAGCGUGUAUGUUGGGACCCGAAAGAUGGUGAACUAUGCCUGAAUAGGGCGAAGCCAGAGGAAACUCUGGUGGAGGCUCGUAGCGGUUCUGACGUGCAAAUCGAUCGUCAAAUUUGGGUAUAGGGGCGAAAGACUAAUCGAACCAUUUGUUGCAUUCUUGCUACUUGGUGGUUAAGAGGCUCACCCAAAUGUGGGCCUAGUCAGCGUUGAGGCUGGCGACACCGUCAAAUUGCGGGGACACCCUAAAGACCUUGAGACCAAGCUCUUGCUGGAAACGGCAGAGUGGACGAGCUAACAGCCCUGUGUAUGGUAAAACUUCAAGGUAUGAGCCAUUUGUGGCGAAAUGGGCAAUCCGCAGCCAAGCCCUAAACAUGUGUCUUACUGGCAUGUGCAGGGUGCAGUUCACAGACUAAAUGUCGGUGGGUCCCAGGUUUGAUACCUGGGGCAUAAGAUAUAGUCGGUCCUCCUGUGAAAGCAGGCUGGCAGAUGAAGUGAUCCAGGUCCCUCAAUUUCAAGGCUUGGUCAUGGGAGCUGCUGGGGCAUCUGGUAAAGAUGCUGGAG
Molecule: ribosomal RNA, 1291 nt
Filed under: Helicogloea sebacea
Lineage: Eukaryota; Fungi; Basidiomycota; Atractiellomycetes; Atractiellales; Helicogloeaceae
Description: partial large subunit ribosomal RNA
Source: RNAcentral